Molecule: ribosomal RNA, 1734 nt
Filed under: uncultured eukaryote
Lineage: Eukaryota
Description: partial small subunit ribosomal RNA
Rfam family: Eukaryotic small subunit ribosomal RNA
Source: RNAcentral
UGCAUGUCUAAGCAUGCGCUGAAGUAAAGUGAAGCCGCGAAUAGCUCAUUACAACAGCCGUUGUUCUUGGAUCGAUCUCUCUACUUGGAUAACUGUGGUAAUUCUAGAGCUAAUACAUGCAACAAAGCUCCGACCGUAAGGAACGGGCGCAUUUAUUAGAACAAGGCCAUCCGGCUUCGGCCGUUCUUUGGUGACUCUGAAUAACUCAGCGGAUCGCAUGGGCUCGUCCCGGCGACGAAUCUUUCAAGUGUCUGCCUUAUCAACUUUCGACGGUAGUUUAUGUGACUACCGUGGUUGUGACGGGUAACGGAGGAUAAGGGUCUGACUCCGGAGAGGCAGCCUGAGAAACGGCUACCAGUUCUAAGGAAGGCAGCAGGCGCGCAAAUUACCCAUUCUCGGUACGAGGAGGUAGUGACGAAAACUACCAAGGUGAGGCUCAUUGAGUUUCACCAUUGGAAUGAGAACAAUGUAAAUGUUUUAACGAUUAGCUAGUGGAGGGCAAGUCUGGUGCCAGCAGCCGCGGUAAUUCCAGCUCCGCAAGUGUAUUCCUAUACUGUUGCGGUUAAAAAGCUCGUAGUUGGAUCUGAGUGUUUAGCAUGCGGUACGGCCUCUGGCCGUCACUGCACUGCGACACAAUCGAUGCCGCUCGACGGGGUGCGAUGCUCUUCAUCGGGUGUCGUGCAGUUGGCGGCGAGUUUACUUUGAACAAAUUAGAGUGCUCAAUACGGGCGUUAUGCUUGUAUACAUCUGCAUGGAAUAAUAGAAUAGGACCUCGGUUCUAUUUUGUUGGUUUUCGGAACCAAGGUAAUGAUUAAGAGGGACAGACGGGGGCAUUUGUACUGUGGCGGGAGAGGUGAAAUUCUUGGAUCGCCGCAAGACAAACUACUGCGAAAGCAUUUGCCAAGAAUGUUUUCAUUAAUCAAGAACGAAAGUAACGGGUUCGAAGGCGAUCAGAUACCGCCCUAGUCGUUACCGUAAACGAUUGUAGUUGGGGGCUAGCAGGUGUUUUCAUAUGGCUCUGCUAGAACCCACCCGGAAACGAAGAGUUUUCGAUAUCCGGGGGAAGUAUACUUGCAAAUGUGAAACUUAAAGGAAUUGACGGAAGGGCACCACCAGGGGUGGAGCCUGCGGCUUAAUUUGACUCAACACGGGGAAACUCAUCCGGUCCGGACACCGUAAGGAUUGACAGAUUGAGAGCUCUUUCUUGAUUUGGUGGGCAGUGGUGCAUGGCCGUUCUUAGUUGGUGGAGUGAUUUGUCUGGUUUAUUCCGAUAACGAACGAGACUCUAGCCUACUAACUAGUUAUGCGAUCUUCUUGUCGUAUUAACUUCUUAGAGGGACAAGCGGUGCUCAGCCGCAUGAAAAAGAGCAAUAACAGGUCUGUGAUGCCCUUCGAUGUUCGGAGCUGCACGCGCGCUACACUGUAGAAUGCAACGUGCUAGCUUGCCUCGCUCGCAAGAGUGGGGUAAUCGGUUGAAAUUUCUACGUGAUUGGGAUAGGGACUUGUAAUUAUUUCCCUUGAACGAGGAAUCCCUAGUAAGUGCAGGUCAUCAGCUUGUGCUGAUUACGUCCCUGCCCUUUGUACACACCGCCCGUCGCUGCCCGGAACUGAGCCAUUUCGAGAAAAAUGGGGACUGAUUGCUUGUGAGCACGCAAGUGCUUCUUGCAGUCGGAAACCAUCUUGAUCGGUAUGGCUUGAACCGGGCAAAAGUCGUAACAAGGUUUCCGUAGGUGA